GAUGAAGAACGUAGCGAAAUGCGAUACGUAGUGUGAAUUGCAGAAUUCAGUGAAUCAUCGAAUCUUUGAACGCACAUUGCGCCCGCCAGUAUUCUGGCGGGCAUGCCUGUCUGAGCGUCAUUUCAACCCUCAUGCCCCUAGGGCGUGGUGUUGGGGAUCGGCCAAAGCCCGCGAGGGACGGCCGGCCCCUAAAUCUAGUGGCGGACCCGUCGUGGCCUCCUCUGCGAAGUAGUGAUAUUCCGCAUCGGAGAGCGAUGAGCCCCUGCCGUUAAACCCCCAACUUUCCAAGGUUGACCUCAGAUCAGGUAGGAAUACCCGCUGAACUUAAGCAUAUCAAUAAGCGGAGGA
RNAcentral lists this unclassified non-coding RNA (348 nucleotides) under soil metagenome. RNAcentral's name for it is "partial contains 5.8S ribosomal RNA, internal transcribed spacer 2, and large subunit ribosomal RNA". The stretch from base 1 to 120 matches the Rfam family "5.8S ribosomal RNA", at positions 35 to 154 of the family's 154-position model. The record is from RNAcentral.